Molecule: long non-coding RNA, 891 nt
Filed under: Anser brachyrhynchus (Pink-footed goose)
Lineage: Eukaryota; Metazoa; Chordata; Aves; Anseriformes; Anatidae
Description: lncRNA (ENSABRG00000004535.1)
Source: RNAcentral
CUUCCACUUCAGAAGCAAAUAAAGAGGAAAUCAAAAUAUUUUAGUAUCAAGGCUUGCUUUUCUUCAAAUUUUCUCCUGCUCUUAAAAAACAGCCCAACAAAAAGAACUAUCCGGAGGGAAGGAGUAUUUUCGUACAAUGAGCCUGUUAUGCUAUCUGAAUGAGGAUUCAAUGAUCCGGUUAUUCGGGCCGCGUUUUCUGCUGCUGUAACAGUCACUGAGGGAAGAACAUUGCUGUGAUAUUUCACUGCCUCUUCUAGCUUCAUCCUCUGCUUGGACUGGAUUUUCGGAUGAGCUCGGUGUCCGGUCGGGGUAAGCUGCCCGUCGAACUCAGCACGCCAGCCAGGAGACUUCACGAAUUCCCUUCGUCCCUCUCCCUUUCCUACAUCCAAGGCCAGCAAUUUCAAAAGACAAUAAACAAACCACAGGCUCUGCAGUCUGCUUCUCAGCUGUCUUGGCAAGGUGGAUUCUCCGUGGAAACUCUGAUAAUCGCCUGCGAGUGCCGGGAAGGUGUCAACGCCGAAUGCGGGGAAGCAUCGGGCAGAAGGAAGGGUUCGCUCGGGAGCUGGGAGGGACUGGUGAGUCAGCCAGGCCUUGAAGAUUGCAGGGCACGGAAUAUUAUCCUCAAACAAGGGUCUCAUCUGGAGAGCUCCAGGCACGCUGGCGAUGGGCAGGAGACGCGAUCUUACCCGCUUCUGCAUUCCGGACAAGCGGCGCCAACGUUUCAAGUCAGCUUUUCACCUCCUUCUGUUCCUCGGUGAGAUUCAGGCUGGGGGUCUGGAGAUAUUGCUGAUAAACUCCUCAGAAAUGCAAUGAAGUAAGAAGGUGUUUGGGAGAGAAAGUGGACAGAGGUGAUUCCUAUUUUGUGUUCUUACUGUGAGGCUGGGAAGGAAG